Molecule: long non-coding RNA, 265 nt
Organism: Quercus lobata
Lineage: Eukaryota; Viridiplantae; Streptophyta; Magnoliopsida; Fagales; Fagaceae
Exons: 3
Source: RefSeq, a predicted model, not a curated record
GAUCAUGGGUUGAUCAUUCUACCAACCAUUGAUCGUAUUUAUUCCUAAGUUCUGCGGUGGAGAUCAGUCUGAGGUUCAUUGCAUCGAAAGCGAGCAACAGGCACAACAUCUCAGGCUAAGCUUAAUAGUUCCACGGAUACUGCUGUAACACCUCAAGGUCUUGCGUUAAUGUUCCAAACUUACCAGCUGAAACCUAGGCUUGUGGGCUAUCACAGGUUUAAUUUUGAGAGAGAUGGAGAAACAUUUGGAGGAACAUCAGAGUCCA